Molecule: ribosomal RNA, 497 nt
Filed under: uncultured bacterium
Lineage: Bacteria
Description: partial 16S ribosomal RNA
Rfam family: Bacterial small subunit ribosomal RNA
Source: RNAcentral
GAUGAACGCUGGCGGCGUGCCUAAUACAUGCAAGUCGAGCGAACGGACGAGGAGCUUGCUCCUCUGACGUUAGCGGCGGACGGGUGAGUAACACGUGGAUAACCUACUUAUAAGACUGGGAUAACUUCGGGAAACCGGAGCUAAUACCGGAUAAUAUUUUGAACCGCAUGGUUCAAAAGUGAAAGACGGUUUUGCUGUCACUUAUAGAUGGAUCCGCGCCGCAUUAGCUAGUUGGUAAGGUAACGGCUUACCAAGGCAACGAUGCAUAGCCGACCUGAGAGGGUGAUCGGCCACACUGGAGCUGAGACACGGUCCAGACUCCUACGGGAGGCAGCAGUAGGGAAUCUUCCGCAAUGGGCGAAAGCCUGACGGAGCAACGCCGCGUGAGUGAUGAAGGUCUUCGGAUCGUAAAACUCUGUUAUUAGGGAAGAACAAAUGUGUAAGUAACUGUGCACAUCUUGACGGUACCUAAUCAGAAAGCCACGGCUAACUACGUG